RNAcentral lists this ribosomal RNA (463 nucleotides) under uncultured bacterium. RNAcentral describes it as "bacterial SSU rRNA". It matches the Rfam family "Bacterial small subunit ribosomal RNA", at positions 28 to 507 of the family's 1533-position model. The record is from RNAcentral.
GAUGAACGCUGGCGGCGUGCUUAACACAUGCAAGUCGAACGAAGAAUGUUUUUCGGAAUAUUCUUAGUGGCGGACGGGUGAGUAACGCGUGAACAAUCUGCCCCGUACAAAGGGAUAGCCUCGGGAAACCGGGAUUAAAACCAUAUAACGCUUUAGUACCGCAUGGUAAUAAAGUCAAAUUGAUUAAGAGGUAUGGGAUGAGUUCGCGUCUGAUUAGCUAGUUGGUGAGGUAAGGGCUCACCAAGGCGACGAUCAGUAGCCGGCCUGAGAGGGUGAACGGCCACACUGGAACUGAGACACGGUCCAGACUCCUACGGGAGGCAGCAGUGGGGAAUAUUGCACAAUGGAGGGAACUCUGAUGCAGCGACGCCGCGUGAGUGAAGAAGGUCUUCGGGAUCGUAAAACUCUGUCCUUGGUGAAGAAAAGGACGGUAGCCAAGGAGGAAGCCCCGGCUAACUACGUG